AACUGCCAGUGAUAAACUGGAGGAAGGUGGGGAUGACGUCAAGUCAUCAUGGCCCUUACGACCAGGGCUACACACGUGCUACAAUGGCGCAUACAAAGAGAAGCGACCUCGCGAGAGCAAGCGGACCUCAUAAAGUGCGUCGUAGUCCGGAUUGGAGUCUGCAACUCGACUCCAUGAAGUCGGAAUCGCUAGUAAUCGUGGAUCAGAAUGCCACGGUCCGAAUACGUUCCGGGCCUU
RNAcentral lists this ribosomal RNA (237 nucleotides) under uncultured Enterobacteriaceae bacterium. RNAcentral's name for it is "partial 16S ribosomal RNA". It matches the Rfam family "Bacterial small subunit ribosomal RNA", at positions 1147 to 1382 of the family's 1533-position model. Lineage: Bacteria; Pseudomonadati; Pseudomonadota; Gammaproteobacteria; Enterobacterales; Enterobacteriaceae. The record is from RNAcentral.